This is a long non-coding RNA of Suricata suricatta (meerkat), 729 nucleotides long. RefSeq lists it as uncharacterized. The record is from RefSeq and is a predicted model, not a curated record. The transcript has 5 exons. NCBI's taxonomy places the organism in Eukaryota, Metazoa, Chordata, Mammalia, Carnivora, Herpestidae.
GGGAUACAACAUGGCGGCCACAUCCUAACGCUCUCUGUCGAGGCGCCAGCGCGGAGGUCCUGGUUCGGAACCCUGUCUCAGAGGAGUGGAAGCUAGGGGGCCUCCCUUUCUGCCCCUUUCUUCUCCGCCCAGUGUCGGCCAGGGCCUGUCGUCGGCUUCCGCCUCCAGGAUGAAGAACUAUAAAGCGAUUGGCAAAAUAGGAGAGGGAACAUUUUCCAAAAUUAUGAAGAUGCAGAGCCUGAGAGACAGAAGCUACGACGCUUGUAAGCAAAUGAAACAGCACUUUGAAAGGUUUGCGGCUUCUGACGGGUCAGAUGCCAGGUGGGGGCAGGAAGCUGUCGGGACAGCGAGACAGAUGGCAGCCGCGGAACUGUAAAAAGCAGGAGGCACACUGACUCUGGGCUCGAGGUCGCUGUUAUUCUGAUGAGGACUCUGUAGUUCCCGCUGUUUGACGUACGGAAUCCGUGACAGGGCCUCCAGCUGGUUUGACAGGGGCUGACAAUCCGGUGCCGUCAUGAUCACUGACUGCUCCUGCGGAGACGAUGCCAGCUGUGCUGCGGGGAGCCCUUUCCGGGCAGCUCCUGGGUUCCUGCGCCGCGCCUCCUUCUUCUUUACUUGUUUUUUCCUUUUUGAACACUUUAAUUUUGGGCACGAUAAGAUUCUGAGGCUCAUCUUGUAUUUUUCCUCCCCUAGAAUCAUUCAUUUCUCCAGGGAGCCCGGGUUCCUUGU